UGGGGAAUUUUGCGCGAUGGGGGAAACCCUGACGCAGCAACGCCGCGUGGAGGAUGAAGUAUCUUGGUACGUAAACUCCUUUCGAUGGGGAAGAUUAUGACGGUACCCAUAGAAGAAGCCCCGGCUAACUUCGUGCCAGCAGCCGCGGUAAUACGAGGGGGGCAAGCGUUGUUCGGAUUUAUUGGGCGUAAAGGGUGCGUAGGCGGUUUGAUAAGUCUGGUGUGAAAUCUAUGGGCUCAACCCAUAGUCUGCACUAGAAACUGUCGGGCUUGAGUAUGGGAGAGGUGAGUGGAAUUUCCGGUGUAGCGGUGAAAUGCGUAGAUAUCGGAAGGAACACCUGUGGCGAAAGCGGCUCACUGGACCAUAACUGACGCUGAGGCACGAAAGCUAGGGGAGCAAAC
RNAcentral lists this ribosomal RNA (401 nucleotides) under uncultured bacterium. RNAcentral describes it as "bacterial SSU rRNA". It matches the Rfam family "Bacterial small subunit ribosomal RNA", at positions 355 to 773 of the family's 1533-position model. The record is from RNAcentral.